Anolis carolinensis (green anole) is the source of this 3397-nucleotide long non-coding RNA. RefSeq lists it as uncharacterized. The transcript has 2 exons. NCBI's taxonomy places the organism in Eukaryota, Metazoa, Chordata, Lepidosauria, Squamata, Anolidae. The record is from RefSeq and is a predicted model, not a curated record.
AAUAAAUAAAUAAAUAAAUAAUGUUGUCUGAGGGGAUGUUCGAUUCUGGCCACAGGGGGGAACAGCUGCUUCAUCAUCCACUGUGACAGCACUUCCUCAUUCCAACGUCGUAAAUUAGUUAAAUUUGCCUCCCCACUUUAUAAGUGGUAGCUUAUUUCCUACUUGAUGUGGUGCUACAGUAGAGUCUCACUUAUCCAACAUAAACAGGCUGGCAGAAUGUUGGAUAAGCGAAUAUGUUGGAUAAUAAGGAGGGAUGAAGGAAAAGCCUAUUAAACAUCAAAUUAGGUAAAAUGGCGUCCUGUUUUGAGGCUUGGGAGGGCGGGGCCAGCCUUUUUGGCCUGCAAAUAGGUGGCAGAAGAGACACAGGCAAAAGCUGCUCUGUUUGGAACAGGGAAGAUGGCUGCCUCUUUUGCGGCCUAGCACAAUGGAGCCAGGCUGCAAGGCCUGAAACGUGUUAGCAAAAUGAUCAAAGGCGGCUUGGAUUGGGGCUUUGGGGGCUAGAAGUGUUCAUAAGCAUAUCAUUAAAACGAUAAUAACAAUGUUCUCUGCUGUCUUUUGAGGAAAGUAGGGCCUUACAAAGAAGUUGAAAGCUGAUGCAAGAUGGCGUCCCCUUUUGGGCCUAGCGGCAUGGGGCCAGCCUGGAAGGCCUUAAACAUGUCAGCAGAGGGGCCAAAGGGGGCCAUCUGUUGUCAGUGGGUUCAUGGAUCAUAGGGGUGAUGUGUGUCAAGUUUGGUCCAGGUCCGGCCUUCCUGGUGGUGGCAGUGGUGUUUUUUAUUACCAAAGUGUAGGCCGAAAGCUGUUAACUGUCCCAAAGCUAGCAUAGUUCUGAGGAGAUAAGUAGGCCGAACGAAGCCAGUUGGUAGUAGUUUUUCCCUCAGCAAUCCCAGUGGCCUGUGAAAGUGGCGGCCAAUCAGAGCUGGCCCAUAUUCCGACCGGCCAAUCAGAAAGCUGAUCCAUAUUCCGCCAGGCCAAUCAAAACGCUGAUACAUACUCCGAUUUCACUUUUAUUAUAGACUAGCUGUGCCCGGCCACGCGUUGCUGUGUCUGAGUCUGGUGGUGUUGGUCAGUCUACAUGAGGUUGUAUUGAUGCUGUGACCUCCACCUUCUUUAUACUCACAUUAGUAGUAGUAUUUGAAGUCUGUUACCUUCUUCAAUUUUUGUGUUGAUUGAUAAUUGCUUGAGAUCCCUGUUGUCUUUGGUUUGUUGUUAAUUGUAAUGUCUGAUUCUGCUGAGUGUGGUUUAUAUUUUUAUUGUGGUACAAUAGUCUUUUUUUGUUUUGCCUGUGUAGGUGUUUAUUAUUAUUAUUGUUGUUGUUGUGGUCAUGAAGGUUGGAUAAGUUAGAUGCUACUGUAUUGUUUUUUGGAGGCCCAGUGUAGCACUGACUGGCCUCUCAGCCUCAGUGCCUGGCUGUUUCUUGCCUGUGAUGGUGUUGAUUCUUAUUGUUGUUGUUGUUGUUGUCAUUGUUAUUAUUGUAAUUGUUUUUUUGGAGGCCAAGUGUGAAUGUAGGGAUUGGGGAGGUGGAUGAGUUGUGUUGUUAAAUUUUAUAUUUGUUAUUGUCACAAUGUGUUGUUGUGAGUUUUGUGGGUCCGGAUUGUGGUUUUGUGGUGUGGUUGUGUUGUUGUUGUUGUGUUAUGUUGCCAAGUUUCGUAUUUCUGGGGCAUUUAGUUGUGUUGUUAUAGUCAUGAUGCGUUGUUGUGAGUUUUGUGGGUCCGGUGUGGUUUUGUGGUGUGGUUGUGUUCUUACAACCGGGAGGCAAGGCUUUUGCAUUGUUUUGCCAAGUUUUGUAUUUCUGGGGCGUUUAGUUGUGUUGUUAUAGUCAUGAUGCGUUGUUGUGAGUUUUGUGGGUCCGGAUUGUGGUUUUGUGUUGUGGUUGUGUUCUUACAACUGGGAGGCAAGGCUUUUGCGUUGUGUUGUCAAAUUUUGUAUUUCUGGAGCGUUUAGUUGCGUUAUAGUCAUGAUGCGUUGUUGUGAGUUUUGUGGGUCCGGAUUGUGGUUUUGUGGUGUGGUUGUGUUGUUACAACCGGGAGGCAAGGUUUUUGUGUUGUGUUGUCAAGUUUUAUAUUUCUGGGGCAUUUAGUUGUGUUGUUAUAGUCACAAUGCAUUGUUGUGAGUUUUGUGGGUCCGGAUUGUGGUUUUGUGGUGUGGUUGUGUUGUUACAAUCGGGAGGGAAGGCUUUUGCAUUGUGUUGCCAAGUUUCGUAUUUCUGGGGCGUUUAGUUGUGUUGUUACAGUCACAAUGCGUUGUUGUGAGUUUUGUGGGUCCUGUGUGGUUUUGUGGUGUGGUUGUGUUGUUACAACUGGGAGGCAAGGCUUUUGCAUUGUGUUGCCAAGUUUUGUAUUUCUGGGGCGUUUAGUUGUGUUGUUAUCGCAUGAUGCGUUGUUGUGAGUUUUGUGGGUCUGGAUUGUGGUUUUGUGGUGUGGUUGUGUUGUUGUAACCUGGAGGCAAGCCUUUUGCAUUCUGUUGCCAAAUUUCGUAUUUCUGGGAUGUUUAGUUUUGUUGUUAUAGUCACUGCGCAAACAACUUUAUCAUUUUAUAUAUAUAGACUAGCUGUGCCCAGCCACGCGUUGCUGUGGCGAAGUCUGGUGGUCUGGGAAAUAAAGUAUUGAGGAAUUGGUGGUAGUUAAGGUCAAGGGUAAAGGUUUUCCCCAGACAUUAAGUCCAGUCGUGUCUUACUCUUGGGGUUGGGGCUCAUCUCCAUUUCUAAGCCGAAGAGCCGGCGUUGUCCGUAGACUCCUCCAAGGUCAUGUGGGAUGACUACAUGGAGCGGUGUUACCUUCCCACCGGAGCAGUACCUAUUGAUGCACUCACAUUUGCAUGUUUUCGAACUUCUGGGUUGGCAGAAGCUGGAGCUAACAGUGGGGGCUCUCUCCGCUCCCCCAAUUCAAAUCUGUGGCCUUUCGGUCCAGAAGUUCAGCAGCUCAGCGCUUUAACACGCUGCGCCAUCAGGGGAUAUUAUUUCCUAAAGGUUGUGAAUAUACAAUAUUUCUGAUUGGUUUUUUUUGUUUGUUGGAGGCAAGUAUGAAUGCUGCAAUUAGGAAAAAUGAUUAGGAUGUAAUGGCCUUGCAGCUUUAAAGCCUGGCUGUUUCCUCCCUGAGUGAAUUUUUUGUUGGGAGGUGUUAGCUGGCCCUGAUUGUUUCUUGUCUGGAAUUCCUUUGUUUUCAGAGUGGUGUUGUUUGCGAUAUUUUAUGUGCUUCUACUGUCUGUGACCCUGAGAAAACAGAGGAUUUGCCAGACUUUGAUGAUGGGAAUACUUUGUUGGGAGGUGUUAGCUGGCCCUGAUUGUUUCCUGUGUGAAAUUCCCCUGUUUAUUUACUGUCCUGGUUUUAGAGAUUAUAUUGUUCUGCAUUAUUCUAUCCCAGUAAUUAUUUCAUAUUAAAGAAGAAUCUUACUUAUCCAA